Long non-coding RNA from Gavialis gangeticus (Gharial), 156 nucleotides. RefSeq lists it as uncharacterized. The transcript is spliced from 4 exons. The record is from RefSeq and is a predicted model, not a curated record. Lineage: Eukaryota; Metazoa; Chordata; Crocodylia; Gavialidae.
ACUAAAGCUCAUUUGAUGAGCUUUAGUUAAAGUGCCCCCACCACCAUUUUUAAGCAUGGGGACACUUAUACAUGAGACGCAGGAGGCAGCUGGAGCGGAGCAAUUGCAACACUCCAGCAGACUUAAUUAAUCAGUCUACUCUGACGCGGUGGCCUU